RNAcentral lists this ribosomal RNA (384 nucleotides) under uncultured bacterium. Its description in RNAcentral is "bacterial SSU rRNA". It matches the Rfam family "Bacterial small subunit ribosomal RNA", at positions 28 to 412 of the family's 1533-position model. The record is from RNAcentral.
GACGAACGCUGGCGGCGUGCUUAACACAUGCAAGUCGAGCGGUAAGGCCCUUUCGGGGGUACACGAGCGGCGAACGGGUGAGUAACACGUGGGUGACCUGCCCUCAGCUCUGGGAUAAGCCUGGGAAACCGGGUCUAAUACUGGAUAUGACUCCAUGACGCAUGUUGUGGGGUGGAAAGCCUUGUGCGGCUGAGGAUGGGCCCGCGGCCUAUCAGCUUGUUGGUGGGGUGANGGCCUACCAAGGCGACGACGGGUAGCCGGCCUGAGAGGGCGACCGGCCACACUGGGACUGAGACACGGCCCAGACUCCUACGGGAGGCAGCAGUGGGGAAUCUUGCGCAAUGGGCGAAAGCCCUGACGCAGCGACGCCGCGUGGGUGAAGAA